GAUGGGUGGGAGAUGGUGGUUUGUGGGAUGGCUUCUGGGUAGGAGCUGGUGGCUUCUGUCCCUUUGGUGGUUUGCCUAAUGAGCUUGGUGGCUUGUGCUCCGGGAGUUGUUUCUCUCCCUCGAGUAGGUUUCGAGUCUUGUCAGAUGGCUUGUGUUCUGGUGGUGGCUUCUCUCCCUGGGGUGGUUUGCCGAAUGGGCUUGGUGGCUUGUGUUCGGGGAGUGGCUUCUCUCCCUGGAGAAGGUUACGAGUUUUGUCAUAUGGCUUUUGUUCUGGUGGUGGCUUCUCUCCCUGGGGUGGUUUGCCGAAUGGGCUUGGUGGCUUGUGUUCGGGGAGUGGCUUCUCUCCCUGGAGAAGGUUACGAGUUUUGUCAGAUGGCUUGUGUUCUGGUGGUGGCUUCUCUCCCUGGGGUGGUUUGCCGAAUGGGCUUGGUGGCUUGUGUUCGGGGAGUGGCUUCUCUCCCUGGAGAAGGUUACGAGUUUUGUCAGAUGGCUUUUGUUCUGGUGGCGGCUUCUCUCCCUGGGGUGGUUUGCCAAAUGGGCUUGGUGGCUUGUGUUCGGGAACUGGCUUCUCUCCCUUGGGAGGUUCAGUUGGUGGCUGCUGUUCCGUAGGUGGUUUCUUCACCGGCGGCUUGUGCUCCGGAAGCGGCUUCUCUACCUGGAGAAGCUUACGAGUUUUGUCCGAUGGCUUGUGUUGUGGUGGUGGCUUCUCUCCCUGGGGUGGUUUGCCAAAUGGAGUUGGUGGCUUGUGUUCGGGGAGUGGCUUCUCUCCAUUGGGAGGUUUAGUUGGUGAUUGGUGUUCCGUAGGUGGUUUCUGAAGUGGGGGAUGCUUGGGGUAGUCAGCAAGAGACGAGGUAGUGAGAACCACCAGUCCCAGCAGCAACACUAGCAAGCAUGUGGAAGACAUCUUUGAGUUCAGGCUGAGAUCUGUGCAAGGAUAACAGAAUUAGGUGGCCUUUUAUAGAGGCCUGGACCCAACACCCAUAUGACACGUGUCAUGCACUCAUGGUGACACAUAAUUCUAUGGGACCAUUUGGGUCCUACAGAAGUUGCAAAGUUGGACUACUGAGGUGUGAUCACAACUUUUGUCCUUAUUGCUUUCUCUGCGGCCAUUGCACGAUUUCCUUUAGCAUCAUUUUCUUGGCUAAAUAAGCGUAUUAUAUUUGUGGCAGACCGUCCACGUGUCAUAAACAGAUAUAUUAUAAUAAUGUAGUAUGCUUUUCUCCAAUGGAACAUGACACUCUUCUAAGUCUUGUUUUAAAUAUUGUGCAGGAUUACUUUAUACGUUGCAGUUCCAAGUCAAAAUUGGUGGGCAAACGUUGGCCUUUUUUCAUUUCACCUAAGAUUAAUGCUCACCUGGGAUAGGCACUACAUGACUUAUCUGCUCUUUUACUGUAAAGUUGCUUUGUGUAUGAGAUACACCUCCCCUGCACACCCUCAACAUUCGUUGCUCUGUUUUCCUUGUGUCCAGACGAGGAUAUUAAUUGGAGGCUGACAAAACGACUGCUAGCCCAGGAUUUACAAGGUCCUGGUUUGAGGCUUCGGUGAAAGUAUUUUUGAAAAGACACACAUAGAGAUAGUGCGUUUGGUGCAAUGCAGCACUGUGAGCCAUUCUGACGCGUUCUUAAUUUCAAAACUAAUGAAUGCUUCAAAAUUUUAAGAAGUGACAUUUCCAAAUAUUUGAGUUCGUUUAAUUGAACAUUGGAUAACUAGUGAUCAUAGAUUAUUAUCUGUGCUUGGCACUAUAAGAGGGUAUAUGCUUCUUUUUCUGGCCCCUCCUUCAAGGGAGGAGGGACAAUGUGAUCUGUAACGUUAGAAGCUAUUCCAUGUCAUCUUUGGGCUCAGUUCAAAACUAAAAGAUAAUGGGGGGGGGGGGGGGGGGCAUAUCAUUUUAUAUUUCUUCUAGAAGGUUUGUUCUGGAAAUAUUUCACAGGAGCAUAUCUUUUUCUUCUAUUACGUCAUCCGCAGCCUCCAAUAGGUCGGUUAACAAGCCACCGAGUUGAAAAGUUGGAAAAAUGGGAACACAGCCCGCCUCUUGUAUUCAGUAGUUAAAUAAAAGGUCACUAGAAGUGAGAUCCCUUUUGGCGUCUUGAUUUUCAAUCCAGCACCUCUGUGACCUGACAAACCAAAAAAACUAAAAAAUAAAAAACAGUACGUGGGUUGGUGUUAAGCAUCAAGACAUGUUAAUGAAAGAAGGUAGAGAAUAGGAUAUUGAAAUCCCAAUCCUGAUAACAUGAUUUUCUUUGCUAACAACCAUAUUAUAUUUUAUCAAGAAAGAGUAAUGCAUGUGGCGUCCAUCAAGACCCAUUAGAGUUCCGCUAAAGCUAUAGUUCUGUCAACGUUAUCAUUUACGUUUCCUCUAGAUAAUGGCAUUUUCCUCUAAAGCUCUUGCACCAUUAGGCUUCAAGUCAAAAUUUCACAUGUGAACUUUGGAAAUUUUCUCCAUUUGCCCCUAAGGAUACAGUUAGAAUUGACUUAAAAUCCUGAUUGAUAUGUACUAUUAACCAAAGAAUAUUGUAUAUAAUAAUUGAAAUAUUGUUGAUUCAUCGUGGAAAUACAUUUUGUAAGGAAAGUUGUUGAGAAUUUAGUAUGCUAUAUGGAGAAAAAAGUCAUGACUUAAGGUUGUGUAUGUAUAUUCUAUAUCAAAUAUUAGGUAGGAAUGUGGGAAAGAGCAGAGUGUAAUGAUAAGAAACAAAGAAAUAUAAGAUAUUCUUGAAAGUGGAAAAUAUAAAAUGGCUAACGAGUCAAAUUUAUGAUGCGUAAGGGGGAUCAUGUCACAUAAGAAAACCAUGGCAUACUAAAGACGUACGUGUGGUAUGGAGUAAUAAUUUUGUUAAAAUAAGUUUCUUGUUGGAGUACAUUAGGUGACUAUUCAUAACGUAUCAAAUUAAAGAGUCAAGUGCAUCAAUGAAGGCAUAUGUAGAAAAUUUGUUUGUGACAUGUACCAUAAAGAUAAGAUUGACUUGAUAGAAUUUAGUCUAAGUAGGAGUUGUUAAAGGUGUCUUAAAUUUCUAAUUGAUGUAUAUUUUUUUCUAAAAAAAUAUUAUAUAGAUAUUUUAAUAAAUGAUUAAUUCUUUGUAAAAAUACUUACAUAAUAAAAAACAUCAUUAAAAAUAUCUUUAUAAAUAUUUUAAGUUACAAGAAGGAAAAAAACCACUGUGAGAUAAUGAUGAACAUGCAACACUGUACCAAGUAAAUAAAAAUGUGAUAAAAAAAAAAGAGAAACACUCGAUAAAGGAAGGCUCGUAUAUAAAGAGUAAUAUUUUUAAUCAUAUGAUAGAAUGAUUUUCUCUCAUUCAUGAAUAUAGGCAAGAUUGGGGAACCAUUAUAAAAUUUUGUACACCUCGUGUAAAUUGAUGUUUGUCUUCAUAUUUUACACCAACAAAUGACAUUGAAGUUGUCAUUGAUAAAAGGGAAAAGGCAUGCCUCCACACCAUGUGCUUGAUUCGAAUGGUUCAAGUUUGAAGAAUUUUCUCCGGAAGAUCUAAAACAUUUUCGCCUUUAAAUUUCAUUUGAUUAUUAAUAUCCGAAAAAAUAGUUAAAUACUCUUUCUAUUUUUGAGUUGUUGAAUUUUUUGAAAGUUUUUAUAUUUGUUAUCAAGAAUUUCUAUUUUAUUAAGGGUGAAUAUUUAUAAAUAAGAUAUUAUAUAAUAUUUGGAUAAGAGAGAAUGGUGGAAUAUAAUAAAGUUUUAAUCCUUCCCAAUUUUGAACCUUUUUUUUUUUUUUUGAUAUAAUCGCCUUUCUCUUGCAAUCCUAUUAUCAGGUACCUUAUAUUUGCUGAUGCUAUCUGGAACUAAAUUCCAAUCAGGCAUUGUCCAAUUACUAAUAGGACAGAUCAUAUCUCUCUGUUUCUAAACUAACAUGUAUCGUAAUGUGACCUCAUAAGGAAGGCUAGGAAGAUGGAGGAUUUUGUGGGAAGCGACCAGAAUCAGAUGGAAGAGAGAUAGCCCUGUUGACCUAAUGGCUGUAAUAGGAGAAGCGUGUGGUUUUAUGGGACUUAACUGAUACUAAACCUGUAUGAUGCUUGGAGUGGUGUUUCUUUCAUUUUGUUAAGAAAAUAUGGCAGCAUACAUGCUUUCAACUGAGUGCAUCAGAGCAUCCAUAACAGAUGGUCUGCAACCCUAGGUGCAUGCCACUUUCUGACUGAUAAUGAAAUUGUCAGGUACCUGGCCUUGACUAAGCUCAACAGCAUCACAUAAAGAGAAGCUUUCAUACUUAGAUUACUGUUUAAAGUUUUUGCUUAUUUGAUUUCUUAAUGCCAUUAUGACAUUAUUGAUUCAAUUCUGCUUCCGAUUUUCGAAGUUCUGGGCAUCUACUGAUUGCAUCAUUAUAUGAGAAGUUGCAUGAGUUUAUGUAUCCUGUUAUUGUUCCUUUGCGAUUUCACUGCUCACGGGACUAACCUCUCCAUUCAGUCGAAAUGAAUUGUAAUUUCUUUACUGGUAGCAGUAGUACUUUUCAUAGCAAAGAUAAUAGAAAAUAUGAAAUAUAAAUAGAAGGAAAUCUGGAUUGUAGAUAGCACCAUAAGUAACACUCAAUAUUCACUACAUAAUAAAUAGACAGUGUUACAUAGGUAGAGAAACCUACAAUGAGUACUCAUCACCAUUCUCAAACAGAAACAUAGCAGCGACUUAUACAUAGAACCUAUAGGCUCGCAGGGAAAGAGUAACAUGAUAAGUUCACAGCGGGUAGCAGCUCUUAUUUUACGUAUUACUCAAAAUCUCAAACUAACCAAAGUCACUCAGUUGGGAUGGGUAGGAGAUGGUGGUUUGUGGGGUGGCUUCUGGGUAGGAGCUGGUGGCUUCUUUGUUGGAGUUGAAGGAGGCAUAUUCUUCUGAGGUGGCUUGUAUGACUCUUCGGCACUCUCUGCAGGAGGGUGCCCAGGGUUGUGACCAGAAGGAGGUGGCUUCUGUCCCUUUGGUGGUUUGCCUAAUGGGCUUGGUGGCUUGUGCUCCGGGAGUUGUUUCUCUCCCUCGAGUAGGUUUCGAGUUUUGUCAGAUGGCUUGUGUUCUGGUGGUGGCUUCUCUCCCUGGGGUGGUUUGCCGAAUGGGCUUGGUGGCUUGUGUUCGGGGAGUGGCUUCUCUCCCUGGAGAAGGUUACGAGUUUUGUCAGAUGGCUUUUGUUCUGGUGGCGGCUUCUCUCCCUGGGGUGGUUUGCCAAAUGGGCUUGGUGGCUUGUGUUCGGGAACUGGCUUCUCUCCCUUGGGAGGUUCAUUUGGUGGCUGGUGUUCCGUAGGUGGUUCCUUCACCGGCGGCUUGUGCUCCGGAAGCGGCUUCUCUACCUGGAGAAGCUUACGAGUUUUGUCAGAUGGCUUGUGUUGUGGUGGUGGCUUCUCUCCCGGGGGUGGUUUGCCAAAUGGACUUGGUGGCUUGUGUUCGGGGAGUGGCUUCUCUCCAUGGGGAGGUUUAGUUGGUGGUUGGUGUUGCGUAGGUGGUUUCUGAAGUGGGGGAUGCUUGGGGUAGUCAGCAAUAGACGAGGUAGUGAGAACCACCAGUCCCAACAGCAACACUAGCAAGGAUGUUGAAGACAUCUUUGAGUUCAGGCUGAGAUCUGUGCAAGGAUAAAAGAUUUAGGUGGCCUUUUAUAGAGGGCUGGACCCAACACCCAUAUGACACGUGUCAUGCACUCAUGGUGACACAUAAUUCUAUGGGACCAUUUGGGUCCUACAGAAGUUGCAAAGUUGGACUAUUGAGGUGUGAUCACAACUUUUGUCCUACUUGCUUUCUCUGCGGCCAUUGCACGAUUUCCUUUAGCAUCAUUUUCUUGUCUAAAUAAGCGUAUUAUAUUUGUGGCAGACCGUCCACGUGUCAUAAACAGAUAUAUUAUAAUAAUGUAGUAUGCUUUUCUUCAACGGAACUUGACACUCUUCUAAGUCUUGUUUUAAAUACUGUGCAGGAUUACGUCAUAAGUUGCUUGUUCCAAGUCAAAAUUGGUGGGCAAACGUUGGCCUUUUUUCAUUUUCCCUAAUAUUAAUGCUCACCUGGGAUAGGCACUACAUGAUUUAUCUGCUCUUUUACUGUGAAGUUGCUUUGUGCAUGAGUUACACCUCCCCUGCACACCCUCAACAUUUGUUGCUCUGUUUUUCUUGUGUCCAGACGAGGAUAUUAAUUGGAGGCUGACAAAACGACUGCUAGCCAAGGAUUUACAAGGUCCUGGUUUGAGGCUUUCACGAAAGUAUUUUUGAAAAGAUACACAUAGAGAUUGCGCGUUCGGUGCAAUGCAACAAUGUGAGCCAUUCUGAAGUCUUAAAUUUCAGAUUAAUGAAUGCUACAAAAUUCUAAGAAGGGCCGUUUCCAAAUAUUUGAGUUCAUUCAUCCGAACAUCGGGUAUAUGCUUCUUUCUCUAGCCCCUCCUUGAAGGGAGGAGGGACAAUGUGAUCUGUAUCGUUAGAAGCUAUUCCAUGUCGUCAUCUUUGGGCUCAGUUCAAUACUAAAAGAUAUGGGCGGGGCCCUUAUCAUUUUAUAUUUCUUCUAGAAGGUUUAUUCUGGAAAUCUUUCACAGAAACAUAUCUUUUUCUUCUCUACGUGAUCCGUGGUUUGAAAGUUGGAAAAAUGGGUCCGUUAACAAGCCACCGAGUUGAAAAGUUGGAAAAAUGGCAACACCGCCAACCUCUUGUAUUCGAUAGUUAAAUAAAAGGUCACUGGAAGUGAGAUCCCUUUUGGCCUCUUGAUUUUCAUUCCAGCAUCUCUAUGGCCUGAUAAAUUAAAAAACUAAAAAAAAAGACAGUACGUGGGUUGGUGUUAAGCAUCAAGAGUCAAGACAUGAUAAUGGAGAGAAAGGAUAUUCAAAUUCCAGUUCUGACAACAUGAUUUUCUUUGCUGAACUACCAUAUUAUAUUUGAUCAAGAAAGAGUAGUGCAUGUGGCCAGGAUCAAGACAUACAUUAAUUUCCACAUGAUGAAGACAGUUUCUGAGAGUUUCUUCUAAAGCUCUUGCGCGAGUAGGCUUCAAGUCAAAAUCUCCCAUGUAAACACUGGUUUUUCUUUCAUUGCCACUAAGGAUGCAGUUAAUAUUGACUUAAGAUCCUACGUGAUAUAUUUUUUUAAAAGAGCUAUAUUGUAGAUAAUAUUUGAAAUAAUGUUGAUUCGUUGUGGAAAUAUAUUUGUAAGGAAAGUUGUUGACAAUUUAAUAUAGUAUAAGAAGAAAAAAGUUAUCAACUAGCUAGAGAUGAGUAUGUAAAGUGAGGCUCACGAUUCAACGCGUAAAUAUAAGAUAUUUUAAGGCUCAAUAGUUAUGAUAUCUAUUUUAUUUUUUGUAUCUCAUAUAUUCAAAGAUAUAGUAAAAUGAUUUUACAUAUAUAUAUAUAUAUAUAUAUGAACAUAACUAUUUGUGCCAAUUGAUUUUUAUCUUUAUUUUGUAUAUUAGUAAUUAUAUUAAAGUUUUUACUAAUAUAAUAACUAAUAUAAAAGCUUUUUCUAAAAGAGUCAACAGAGCAAAACACUUAUUAUAAAAAAUAAUUUUGAUUGAAGGUGGAGUCAAUUAUUCUUUAUUUAACAUGUAAUGCAUACGGCGUGUACUUCAUAACUAAAGUAUAUAAGUGUAACAUCUCUUAUAUAUUCUCAUUCAAUCUCGAAAGUGGAAAUUUUAAAAAGAUUAAACGGUUCAAAUUUGUCGUGCAUAAAGGGGAUCAUGUCACAUAAGCAAACCAUGGCAUACCAAAGACAUAGGUAUGGACUAAGAAUUUUUUUCAAAUAAGUUUCUUAUUAGGGUACAUUAAUAGGUGACUUUUUAUGACAUAUCAAAGGAGUCAAGUGCACCAAUAAAAACAUAUAUAGAAAAUUCAUGCAUGACAUGUAUCACUAAGAGAAGAUUGACUUGAUAGAGUUUAAUCCAAAUAGGAGAUUGUUAAAAGGUGUCUCAAAUUCUUGAUUGAUAUAUAUUUUUUUUAUUAAAAAGGUUAUUAUAUAGAUAUUUCAAUAGACUAUUAAUUCUUUGUAAAAAUAGUUAUAUAAUGAGGAUGGUGAUUAAAAAUAUCUCUAUCAAUAUUUUGGAUUAUAAAAAGAAAAAAAAUGAGAUAAUGAUAAACAUAUAAAACUUGUACAAGUAGAUAAAGAUGUGAUGAAAGACACUUGAUGAAUGAAGGCUUUGUAUUUCAAGAUAUAAAUAUAUGGAGCAAAACUCUUAAUUAUAUGAUCAAAUGAUUCUCUCAUAUUCAUGAAUAUAAGCAGGAUUGGGGAACCAUGAUAGAAUCUUAUAUGCCUCUCCAUGUAGAGUGAUCGAUGUUUAUCUUCAUAUUUUACACCAGUGAAUGACAUUGAAACUCUUAUUGAUAAAAGGGAAAAGGCAUGGCCUCCACCCCAAGAAAAACAAGUAACCUCGGUUUAAAUCACUAGUCUACACCCCGAAGAGAGAACUAGCCAAACCUACUAAAAGAGAAACUUAACAAUUUAGAAAGAAACCGUCCAUGAUAAAGGGCCCCUAAAGGUCCAAUUCAGUGAGGUCGUGAACAAAAACACUUUCAUGUCAAAACAGAGAUAGGUACCACCAAAAUGUAAAGGGAAAGAUGUAAACCACGUCGAACUUUGGUAAUCAAUGGUAAAGAUAGCAUGAUAGCUAAAAGCACUAAAGCUGUGCUUGGUAUGCAAAAAUGAAAAGUGGAAAUCAGCGUCUUAUUCUUUUUCACCUUUAUUCACAUAUUAGGAUAACUAAUAUCUAAUGUUUUUUAUGUCUCAAAUUCUAUUCCAUGUUAUGGUAAACUUUCAUCUUGUUUAGAUCACUUUUGUCUGGUUUGGGCUCAAGACGAUAAGCCUAUAGAGACUUCAUAUUGGGUUGAAUCGAUGCCCUUGAUCUGAUCUGUUCGUUAGAAAAAUCUGAAUUAUUAUAAGCAUUUAGAUAAAAAAUAAAUAAAUGUGAAACACAAACUACUCCCUGCACAACCUUGACCCUAGUUACUCAGUUUCACUGCUCACAGGACUAACCUCUCCAUUCAGUCGAAAUGAAUUGUAACAAGAAGAUUUUUGACAGGAGGACGGUAGUUUAAAAUAAUAAUUUCUAAAGUACUUUUGUGAAAAAAAAUAAUUCCAAACGUGGAUUUUAUCAAGUAAAAAGAAAAAAAAAAGUUAUUUUCUUUUAAAAUCUGUUCUUCUAAAGAUGAUAUAUAUACCAAAAAAAAAAAUUGUUUUCUGAAGGUAAAAUUUUUAAAAUUCAUUUUUAAAAAAAUUUACACACUAAAAUUAUCUUUUCAAGAGAAGAUUUUUUUAAUUUUAAAUAAUUAUUAAUUUAUAAUUAAUUUGUUAUUAAUUAUUUAUUAAUUUUUUUAUUUGAAAAAUGCAUUUAUAAAAAACAAAUUUGUUAUUAAUUUAUUAAAUAAUUUUUACAAAAUAAAUAAUUUUUUUUUAUUUUAAUUUUAAAAUUAAUUUUAUUAUAUAAAUUUUAAAAUUAAAAAUAUUAAUAUUUAAUUUAAAAUUUAACUAUAAAAGGAAUAAAAUAUAGAAAAAUAAAUUAAUUUAUUAUUCAAUAAAUUAAUUUUCAAUAAAAUUUUCAGCAUUAAGAGAUAAAUUUUUAAGUAUUAAUCAAUUUAAAAAGAAAUAAUGAUCAUUUGUAUAUUAAGAUAUUUUAUUUAGUAAUUAUGAAUGAUAAACAACUAAAGUAAUUUGAAAAAAUAAUAAAAUAUUUAAAAAAUAAUAAUUUAAUACACGUAAAAUUAGAAAUGAUUAACUAUUUUUUAUUAAGAAAAAAUUGAGGAAAUAUUUUGUUAUUUAAAAUUUUUUAUUUGUUUUCAAUUUUUAAUGUUAUAGGUUUCAAGAAAAUUGAUCAAAUAAAAAUUAAGAAGUCAUUUUUUCAAAAACUAUAUAUCUAAAUAAAAGCCUUGAAAUUCAAAUACACAAUAUCAUAAAUAUAAACACCAAGUCAAUCCUUAAUUAUCAAAUGUUUUUAAUAUUAAAGAAUCAAAAUCACCUACUAUCAUGAUAAUAAGAAAACCAAUAAUAUUGUUCAUAUAAAUACUAAAAAGCUAACAAAUAUCCCAAACAAUUAAUAAAGUAUCAAACAUGAUAAAAAGUCAAUUAUUAUCAUGAAUGCAAAAAAUCAAUAAUUUUGUUUAUAUGAACCAUCAACAAAGAAAAAAAAAAUCAAUAUCUAAAUAUUAAACAUAAUUUAUAUUUUUAUAAAUAUUAUUGUUGAUAAAUAUCUUAACAAUUAUAAUUUUAGUAAAUAAAAUUAAUUAAUUUUAGUUUAAGAAUUAUUUUUUUAUACUUUCGUAUUCUUAUCAAAAAUCCCCAUUUUGCAUGUCUCCUUUGGCAUGACUUUCUUACCUAAACAAGCAUAUAUAUAUAUAUAUAUAUAUAAAAUAUUUGGUUAAGAAAGAGUACUAAAGUUUAUAUGGCACACAUCAAGAUAGAAACAGAAGUGGAAGAUAAUCCAAAUGUAUGAACAGAUAUAUUAUAUCCAUGUAGUGGUAGUGACUUCAUUAUUUACUUUUAUCUAAUGGAGCAUGACACACUUCUUCUGAAUAUUUUGCACGAUUAUGUUAUGUGUCAGCUUGUUCUAAGUCAAAACUAGUGAUAAAAAUCGGUUUUUUUUGCAUUUCCUUCAUGAAGAUGGCACCUGGAUGGGGCACUACAUGAGUGGCAUAGCACGAAGUGAUUUAUCUGCUCCCUUUACUAUAAAGUGCUUUGUGUAUAAGUUACACCUCCCCUGCACUGCCUCAACAUUUGUUGUUCUGUCUUCCGUCUGUCCAAACGAGGACAAACGUAUGUUGUAGGUUGACAAAACCACAGCUAGCCUAGGAUUUGCAAGGAUCUAGUUUGAUUCGUAUGCAAAAGGAUUGGUGAAAAGAUUCACAAAGAUAAUGCUUUUUGCAAUGCAAUCUUGUUCUAAUUCAACAGUGUGGACCAUUUUCAUGUAAUGCUUCAACUAGAUGUCAGUUUCAUGAAUUUUUGUUCAUCUAAUUGAUCACUGGAUAGGCCAUAACCCGAAGAAAUUCAAAAUUCCCUUCAGUACUGUAGCUAAGGAAAGAUCCCUAUCUACCACUGGGAUUUUAAGAGGGUAAAAAUGUAGGUGGGUGCCUAUAUCAUUUGCACUUCACUAUAGGCCUCUUUGGGAAGAUUUCUUCUGAAGACAUUUCAAAGAAACAUAUUUUUCUCUUCUCUCCGUAAACGGCAGCUGCAAGUCAGUCCAUUCACAGGCCACCGAGUUGAAAAGGCUGGAAAAUUGGCCAAAGCACCCGCCUCCUGGAUUCCAUGGGUAAGGAAAAGGUCACUGGAGGUGUGAUCCCUGUUGGCCUCUUGAUUUCCAUUCCGCCAUCUAUAUGACCUGAUAACCCAAAAACACAGAAGGAAAACGUCACCUGGGUUCAUAGUAAGCAUCAAGUCAUGAUAGAGACCAGACAACAUGACCAACAAAGAGUAGCGAAUGGGGCCAACAUCAAGCCCCAUUACGGUUAGAAGAUGGAAGAAGUAGAAGACAAUCCAAUUCUGAUAGAUUCGGGCAAAUGUAGUGCUGUUCAAACUUAAUCAUUUACUAUUUCUUCAUGAAUCACGGCAUUUUUCUUCUGAAAAUUUUCCAAGAUUAGGCCUCUGAAGAAAAAUUUCAUAUGUAAAUUGGUAUAUUAAGGAAAAGGCGUUACAAAGGUGAAAAAAAACCAAUCAAAUCUUAUAUAUGACAUCUCAAAAAUAUGAACUUGCUAUAAAUAUUUAAAAUCAAAAUCUUGCACAUCACCUCGUAGUACGAACUUGCUAUAAAACUUGAAAAUCAAGAAGAAAGGGGCAGUAUUGGACGAGACUACUUAGCACAUAUUAUUAUGAUGUUUUUUCAUUUUCUUAAUGUUGUUUUUAUGUCUUAAAUUCUAUUAUUCUAUGUUACGGUAAACAUUCAUCUUGUUUGUGUGGAAUAGGAUCACUUUUCUCUGGGUUGAGUCGAUGCCCUUAGUUAAUUUGUUCAUUUGAAUAAACUAAAUUAUUAUAAGUAUUUAGAUAAGAAAAACGUGAUACAUAAAUUACGCCUCUCGGCACAACUUCAACACUGGUUACUCUGUUUCAGUUUCCUCACACAAGAUUAUUGGUUCUAGGGUUUAUUUGGUUUUGGUUUGAUUCUAAUUGCUAAACUUUCUCAAGGAAGAUGUUAUAUAGGGAGUGAGAAACCUUCACUCUUGGCUACCUCCAAGAGAAGAGCAAGUGGUCUGAAUCAAAGAUAUACUGCUCACUUUUUCUUCUUCUAAGGACAGCUAUGACCUUGCUUUAAGGUUCGAAUAGCCUAAUGCAACCUCCCAUUUCUCAAGUCAGCUGAUGAUGUAAGUCACCUUGGCUUUCCACAUUCAUACGGUGAGGACGUUUGUGGGUGUAAUUCUCUUAACAGUUUUCAUUUUAUAUGGAAAAAUUCAUAAUUAAGGGUAAUUACUGAUUCCAUUUGACAGUGACCAAGUUUAAAAUAUUAAUUCAUAUAUUAAAUGCACAUUAAAAAAUCAUGGAAUAAAUAUAUUUACUAAUAUAUAGUUCUUUUGCCAUGUUCUGUCACAGAAGCAUCGAACUUUCCCUAGAAAUUUUUGCAUGGUAUUCUACUUAUGAUUUUGAAAACUCUAGGCACCUGAGGCCACUAAUUGCAUGGUUGGAUGAGGAGCUGCAUGAGAUUAUGUAUCGUGUUGUUCCUUAACUACAAAUAUCAGUUUUAAGUAGCAUCUCCAUGUGACAUUUUCCUGAUGCAAUUUCGCUGUCCACCAACAAAUUUCACCAUGCAGCAAGAUGAAUUGUAAUUUCUUUAUUGUUAUCAACAGCUUUAAUUAAUCUUGAUAUAUAUAUAUAACUUAGUAGAAGUAUAUUAAUCUAGAUUGUAGUUGCACUAAGAUAAUAGGCAAUAUUAUAACAGUGCCACAAUGCUCAUCGCCAAAUAGAAAGGUAGAAAAACUACAAUGAGUAACUCACAACAUUCUCAAACAGGACAUAGCGGCGACUGAUACAUAGAACACUAUUGGCACUCAGGAAAUGAUAAGAUCAGUGCCCAGCAGGCAGCACGUCUUAUUUUACAUACUACUUAAAACUAACCAAAGUCAUUCAGUUGGGAUGGGUGGGAGAUGGUGGUUUGUGCGGUGGCUUUUGGGUAGUUGGUGGCUUCUUUCCUGGAACUGAUGGUUUUUUUGUUGGAGUUGAAGGAGGCUUAAUCGUCUGAGGUGGCUUGUAUGAGUCUUCAGCACUCUCUGCGGGAGGGUGCCCAGGGUUGUGACCAUAAUGGGGUGGCUUCUCUCCCUUAGUUGGUUUGCCAAGUGGGCUGGCUGGCUUGUGCUCCGGGAGCGGCUUCUCUCCCUUAGGUGGUUUGCCAAAUGGGCUUGCUGGCUUGUGCUCUGGGAGCGGCUUCUCUCCCUCAAGAAGUUUACGGGUUUUGUCAGAUGGCUUGUGUUCUGGUGGUGGCUUCUCUCCU
Molecule: long non-coding RNA, 13342 nt
Filed under: Vitis vinifera (wine grape)
Lineage: Eukaryota; Viridiplantae; Streptophyta; Magnoliopsida; Vitales; Vitaceae
Description: long non-coding RNA (VVIN_LNC001392)
Source: RNAcentral